This 429-nucleotide ribosomal RNA is filed under the name Fusobacteriota bacterium. Its description in RNAcentral is "Fusobacteria bacterium partial 16S ribosomal RNA". It matches the Rfam family "Bacterial small subunit ribosomal RNA", at positions 355 to 776 of the family's 1533-position model. Lineage: Bacteria; Fusobacteriati; Fusobacteriota. The record is from RNAcentral.
UGGGGAAUAUUGCGCAAUGGGCGAAAGCCUGACGCAGCGACGCCGCGUGAGGGAUGAAGGUUUUCGGAUCGUAAACCUCUGUCAGAAGGGAAGAAACCGCACUGUGCUAAUCAGCAGUGCCUUGACGGUACCUUCAAAGGAAGCACCGGCUAACUCCGUGCCAGCAGCCGCGGUAAUACGGAGGGUGCAAGCGUUAAUCGGAAGUACUGGGCGUAAAGCGCACGUAGGCUGCUUUGUAAGUCAGGGGUGAAAUCCCACGGCUCAACCGUAGAACUGCCAUUGAUACUACUUAGCUUGAGUCCGGGAGAGGGUGGCGGAAUUCCAGGUGUAGGAGUGAAAUCCGUAGAUAUCUGGAAGAACAUCAAUGGCGAAGGCGGCCACCUGGGCCAGUAUUGACACUGAGGUGCGAAAGCGAGGGGAGCAAACAGG